Molecule: ribosomal RNA, 407 nt
Filed under: uncultured bacterium
Lineage: Bacteria
Description: bacterial SSU rRNA
Rfam family: Bacterial small subunit ribosomal RNA
Source: RNAcentral
UGGGGAAUAUUGGGCAAUGGGCGAAAGCCUGACCCAGCAACGCCGCGUGAAGGAAGAAGGCUUUCGGGUUGUAAACUUCUUUGACGAGGGAAGAAAGAAAUGACGGUACCUCGAAAACAAGCCACGGCUAACUACGUGCCAGCAGCCGCGGUAAUACGUAGGUGGCAAGCGUUGUCCGGAUUUACUGGGUGUAAAGGGCGUGUAGGCGGGAGACCAAGUCAGAUGUGAAAUGCCAGGGCUUAACCCUGGAGCUGCAUUUGAAACUGGCCUUCUUGAGUGAUGGAGAGGCAGGCGGAAUUCCUAGUGUAGCGGUGAAAUGCGUAGAUAUUAGGAGGAACACCAGUGGCGAAGGCGGCCUGCUGGACAUUAACUGACGCUGAGGCGCGAAAGCGUGGGGAGCAAACAGG